UGUGGUUGAGCAGACACAAAUGUGUUCAUUAUAAUAUGAGUUCAUGCAGGGGACAACGGCAAUUCACAGGUGUGGGAUACUGCACCUCUCUGCUCCAAACAUUUGAAUGGUUGUCUUGGCAUACAUGUGUUUCUCUGACCUGAUAAUGACCUUCUUUCUCAUAGUGAGAAUCAUCUCCUCCAACACUGCCUGAUGUGGCAGUGUUUGGACUAUCACAUAAACACUAGUGGAUAACAGCAUUCACCCAGCUCCCCAGUCCUGUGAGUGUGUUGCUGUGUGCCGCUGCAGGUCGGCGUGGUCCGCAGGGCGUGAGAGAGCAGCAGGAUUUCUCAGCCCAAGUCACAGCUGCAGUGAGGCCGCAAAAGUGGUUUACCACCCCAGCACAGCAGCACCGUCCCUAAGGUAGACAUACAGAUGAUCACAGCAGCACCGUCCCUAGGGUAGACAUACAGAUGAUCACAGCAGCACCGUCCCUAGGGUAGACAUACAGAUGAUCACAGCAGCACCGUCCCUAAGGUAGACAUACAGAUGAUCACAGCAGUCUCACUGUUUUGGCUAACGUGCGCAAGCACACAUGGGCACAUACAAUUUCCAGUGCAUCUUACUAUAAAAGCUGCACUUAUCUGUGAUUUACAGGGGCAUCUGGGUCUAAUCCACCAUCAUUCAUACCCACCAC
Long non-coding RNA from Oncorhynchus tshawytscha (Chinook salmon), 676 nucleotides. NCBI's taxonomy places the organism in Eukaryota, Metazoa, Chordata, Actinopteri, Salmoniformes, Salmonidae. The record is from Ensembl.